GAACGAACGCUGGCGGCGCGCCUAAUACAUGCAAGUCGAGCGAGAAGACGUAGCAAUACGUUUGUAAAGCGGCGAACGGGUGAGGAAUACAUGGGUAACCUACCCUCGAGUGGGGAAUAACUAGCCGAAAGGUUAGCUAAUACCGCGUACGCUCCUUGGACUUCGGUUCAGGGAGGAAAGCGAUACCGUGGGUAUCGCGCUCUUGGAUGGGCUCAUGUCCUAUCAGCUUGUUGGUGAGGUAACGGCUCACCAAGGCUUCGACGGGUAGCUGGUCUGAGAGGACGAUCAGCCACACUGGCACUGCGACACGGGCCAGACUCCUACGGGA
Molecule: ribosomal RNA, 328 nt
Filed under: uncultured bacterium
Lineage: Bacteria
Description: bacterial SSU rRNA
Rfam family: Bacterial small subunit ribosomal RNA
Source: RNAcentral